Molecule: ribosomal RNA, 328 nt
Filed under: uncultured bacterium
Lineage: Bacteria
Description: bacterial SSU rRNA
Rfam family: Bacterial small subunit ribosomal RNA
Source: RNAcentral
AGCGGCGGACGGGUGAGUAAUGCUUGGGAAUCUACCUAGUAGUGGGGGAUAACGUGUGGAAACGCACGCUAAUACCGCAUACGUCCUACGGGAGAAAGCAGGGGAUCUUCGGACCUUGCGCUAUUAGAUGAGCCCAAGUCGGAUUAGCUAGUUGGUGGGGUAAUGGCUCACCAAGGCUACGAUCCGUAGCUGGUCUGAGAGGAUGAUCAGCCACACUGGGACUGAGACACGGCCCAGACUCCUGCGGGAGGCAGCAGUGGGGAAUAUUGCACAAUGGGCGAAAGCCUGAUGCAGCCAUGCCGCGUGUGUGAAGAAGGCUCUAGGGUUG